This 469-nucleotide ribosomal RNA is filed under the name Boana sp. 4 ML-2020. RNAcentral's name for it is "partial 12S ribosomal RNA". The record is from RNAcentral. Lineage: Eukaryota; Metazoa; Chordata; Amphibia; Anura; Hylidae.
UGGUCCUAGCCUUGAAGUCAGUUUUUACCUUACUUAUACAUGCAAGUCUCCGCACCCCUGUGAAAACGCCCUUAAAUUCCUUUCAGGAAUAAGGAGCUGGUAUCAGGCACAACACUUAGCCCAAGACACCUAGCUAUGCCACACCCACAAGGGCCCUCAGCAGUAAUUAACAUUGAACAUAAGCGCCAGCUUGAUUCAGUUAAAGUAAAAAGGGCAGGCAAAUUUGGUGCCAGCCGCCGCGGUUACACCAUGUGGCCCAAAUUGACUUCUUUCGGCGUAAAGAGUGAUUAAAGUAAAACCACACUGUAGUCAAACUAAAAUUAAGUCGUGACAAACUUAUGUUUGGGAGGCUCAAAAACGAAAGUUACUACACCCAAAACAACUUGAACUCACAAUAGCUAAGAAACAAACUAGGAUUAGAGACCCUACUAUGCUUAGCCACAAACUUUUAAUUACACCCCAAACGCCA